RNAcentral lists this ribosomal RNA (253 nucleotides) under uncultured bacterium. Its description in RNAcentral is "partial 16S ribosomal RNA". It matches the Rfam family "Bacterial small subunit ribosomal RNA", at positions 524 to 776 of the family's 1533-position model. The record is from RNAcentral.
UACGAAGGGGGCUAGCGUUGCUCGGAAUCACUGGGCGUAAAGGGCGCGUAGGCGGGCUCUUAAGUCAGGGGUGAAAGCCCAAGGCUCAACCUUGGAAUUGCCUGUGAUACUGAGGGCCUUGAGACCGGAAGAGGUCGGCGGAACUGCGAGUGUAGAGGUGAAAUUCGUAGAUAUUCGCAAGAACACCAGUGGCGAAGGCGGCCGACUGGUCCGGUUCUGACGCUGAGGCGCGAAAGCGUGGGGAGCAAACAGG